UUUUUUUUUUUUUUUUGUCCUUUUGCCUUUUCUAGGGCCGCACCCAUGGCCUAUAGAGGUUCCCAGGCUAGGGGUGCAAUCGGAGCUGUAGCCACCAGCCUACGCCAGAGCCACAGCAAUGAGGGAUCCGAGCCAUGUCUGCAACCUACACCACAGCUCAUUGCAAUGCCAGAUCCUUAACCCACUGAGCAAGGGCAGGGAUCGAACCCGCAACCUCAUGGCUCUUAGUCGGAUUCGUUAACCACUGCGCCACGACGGGAACUCCAUGACCAGUAUUUUAAAAUAAGGGUUAGUGGGAUAUAUGAGUACAAGGGUUAAUAUGAAUAUAUAUAAUAUUCCUGUCUGUCUGUCCAUCACUCUAGAGGCUCCUGUCCCACAUCCCUGGAACACUGGCUCCCUGCUGGAUAAGCCACUCUUCAUGCCCCUGUCUAGGUCUUGAAAGCUGAGCAUCUCGGGGUACACCAGGAGGUGUGGACAGGGAGCCUGGGGACUCACAGGAGAGGUGACAAUAGUGAUUCCGUCACUUGGUCGGGGAGGUUAGUAUAUUCCAGGCACGAUUCUUAUCCUUAAUGACUCUUGUCUAAAUUAAUUCUUGUCACAAACUUACAUUCUUAUUGUCCUGACUUCACAGCCGAGGAAUCUGAGACUCAGAGAGGACUGGAGGCAAACUCCCAGUGGGGUCCGGGGCACAGAAAGCGUGGGGCAGCUCUGGGCCCCUCAGGGAGGCAGGAGGUCUGGUCGUGCCCCUGGGAGAGCACAGCCAUUCCCUCCGUAACACAGUCUGAGGACGGGGGAUGGAAGAGGCCUGAGGACCUGGGAUGAGCCGAAUUGUGCCCCAACCCCCGCAAAAAAAUUCGCGUUAGAGCCUAAGCCUAGUAACUCACAAUGUAGUUGGGAGAUAAGGCCUGUAAGGAAAUAAUUAAGGCAAAAUGAGGUCAUUAGGAAGAGAUGCGGACACAGACACGCACAGGGGAAGGUCACCGGCAGACACAUGGCCACCAGGGGGCUUUCUUGGAGGGAGGCUGCUGGCUUGCUGGGGUGGGAGUAGGGCUGCCUGUGAGAGAAGCCUAGGGGUGAUGUGGGGGGCGCGAGGAGCAAGUUGAAGGGGGCCCAAGGCGGCCCUUGCCUAGUGGUAGGAGGAAGCUAGACGGUGAAGGGCCUGGAGCACCAGGCUUCAUGUUGGGGACAUGGCUGAGAUCGUCAGUGUCGGAAAAAAAAUGAGACACAUGAACACGGGGAGAUCUCAACAAGGCUCUUUACUUCUGCAGAAGGACGCGGGUGCUCCAAAAAGCGUGGGCACCGAACAAAGGACCCCCCUCCCCCAUUUAUCCCUAAGGCAGGUGAUGGACCUGUCCCCUUCCCAUUGGUCAGGUCAGGGCGCACAUUCUUCCUGGUUGGCUCAUUUGAAACAAAUGGUUACUGGGAGAAGAGGGAAUGAGGAGGGGGUGGUGUCGCAGGAAGGCGAAUAGGAGCAAAAUGGAGUCACCAAGAUUUCCUUUGAGAGAAAAGACAUUAUGUGGCUUUCCACUCAGGAUCUGGAUUGGGUUUCCUAAGCCAGAGGGAGCAAAGGGGUGAUCAAAUAACAUGAGAAUUUUAGACAGAGGUCUGGGAGCAGGUUGGGUUGGCCGGGGAGCAUCUGAAGGUCGGGAUCAGCUGAAAGGGGCUGCAGUUGUCUGAGAUGAGAGUUUUAAGGGUCUGAAUGACCGUGGAGAGGGAAUGGGGUCAGAAGCAGACCCCCAAAAAGGCACAGCUCAGAGGUGACUUGGAGGCCCCCCAAGAGUGACCACAUGGCACUGCCUGAGACAUAAGAGAUGGCAUGACCAGAGUGUGGGGAGAGCCAGGGUCAGAGAAGAAGGAAGACGUGCAUCAGAUAUGAAACCCUUAGUGGCACCUGUCUGUUGCUGUGCUUGGUGGGUGUAAAAGUACAGCUUUGCUUUCCAGUGUUGAAAAUCAGACAGUACUUUGAGGUGUAAAUUUGUCCUUCCGACAUGGCACCCUUCUUAUCCGAACUGGAAGAGGAGCUGGGUGAGCAGCUCAUCUGGGGGCCCAACUGAAAAGGGGAAAUUUAACACAUCAUCAGGCCUUUGAGAAAGAAAUAAAAGGUACCUGUUGAUUCGUACAACCUUAAAAAGCCGUAGGAGCUGUGGCAUGCUCCUGCCCGGAGGUGGUUUAGAAUAGGUUCUUUACUGGAGCUUUUCCCCAAAAAAAAAAAACAGUAGAAAAUAAGAAAAUCCCAGUGGGAGAGGAGGAAGAGAGACACAGGGAGCAUGGGGCAGAGUGGAGAACCUCCCCAAACGGUAGGAGGAAGGUUCUGCCCCUGGAUGGAGACACACCGCCCCCAACCCCGCCACCCCGAGUGAGGGACUUAGGGCCAAAGGCAUUAGCAUUAGUUCUUUGUGACACAGCAGCCACAGGUAUCCUGAGAGCAGCUUCCGGGUGACAAAAGUGUCACUCCUGGCAGGAGAAGGAAAAUGCAAAGGGCCAUUCUGACCACCAGUGACACAAAUGUGCUGGAGUUGUUUUUUCCAACACAACAUAAAGCUGGCGAUUGAAACAGAAUCCAAGCAGUAGGUGAGCUCCAGGUUUUGAGUUGACAUCUCAGUGGGCGUGGGGUCCCCAUGCAAGCCUCUGCACUCUGGCCAUGUCCCCACUCUGUUCCCUUAGCUGACUCUGCUUGGGCAUUUGUCUCUCAGGCACAUUUCUGGAGGUGCAUGUGUGACCUGGCUGCAGCUGGGCCCUUUUGUCCCUGUACAGAGCCACCACCCCUACCUUCUUGAAUCUCUGCUUGAAACUCCAGCUCUAAUCAGCAGUGCAGGUACCACGUGUCCCUGGAAAUCUGAAUUUCAAACCUCUUACAAGAUGGUCAGAAGGGCCCAUUACAGUGGUGCCUCUCCAUCUGGACUGUAGUCUGGGCUGAGAACACGUUCUCCCUACAGAGCAGGGGCUGAAAUCACAGGUGCCAGGGUCACUUGGCCACACUGACCUCAAACGAGUGUGGUGCCCCAAGUCCCUGUCCCUGGGUUGUGACGGCUUGAAAAAACUUCCUUAGCAUGGAGUCCUGGCUUCCCCCAGAUAAGUCAGCCUCCAGUGCUGGGCCCAAUCAUGCCCUGCUGGUCACGCGUGUGGGCAUCCAGUGAGAGCUGAGUGAGGCCAGGAAGGCCAGUGUCUUUUGUGAACUGGCAGCAGCCCCCAGGGAAUGGGCCCAGGGAUAGGAGUUCUGCUGGACCAAACGCUUGGCAAGCUGCAGUUUGAGUAAGCUCCAGCUUGCACGGUGAAGUAGAUGCAUUUUCUCCAGGGCUCUGUGCAGGCUCUGAAAACUGAGGGCUUGGCCCAGAAACCCCAGAACUCUGGGCUUACACAGCAGCCAUGAAGAGGUAGCUCUCCCCUGAAACAUCUUGCAGGUAAAAAGAGCAUCACCCCAACAGAAAAGCCUGAGGAGCGGGCCUUAAACUCCUUAUAUUUAUGGGUUAGGGCAAAGUCUGGCACAUAUAAUAGUAUGAAAAAAGCAACUUGUGAUACAUGGUUCCUUUUAUGUAAAAUUAGUUACUUUCAUUCAUAUCUAGAUACACAUGGUUACAGGGGUCAGCCUGGAACCACAUUCACCAAACCAGAAGGGACAAAUUGUGUUGUCUGUGUCCCAGAACUUCCGAUGUUGUCACCUCACUAGCAGGUUCUUCCCCUGUCUGAUUACACCUGUGAUACAGAUAUAUAUAUAGAAAUGGGCUCUUUUGAUGGAAAACAGUCCACUCCUGUCCCAAGGAAAAAUAUCUAUAAAAUCAUAGCUUUUAUGUGAUAUAGUUUUUCUAUUAUACAUUAAAUUAUAUUUGCUAUUUAAAAUAAAAACUGUUCAUCUGUGUGUCACCUACAAAUUUUUCAAUGGCAAAGUGAUUGAGCACUUCAGCUGCAGAGUCCAACUGCCUGAAUUUGAAUUCUGGCUCUGCCAUUUACUGCUGGCCGUUUAUUACUCAAUAAAUUCUUAACUUCUUUAAAUCUCAUUUUAUUCUCUUUAUAUGCCCCUGAAAGGAUUUUGAAGUGAUGUAAUCAAUGAAAAAAUGAUUAAUGUCGUUCCUGGCACAGAACAACCGUGCAAAUAAAUGUGAUGUUGAAAAUUGGCUGUAGAUUCUUCUGCUUGUAGUCAAGCUGAAGUGUAAUGAGGACUAGAUUUGCUCUCCCACCGAGAACAAGUAGGGAGCUGGAUAAACUAGGAAACCACUAUUAUAAGACAGUGGAAAACAGAAAAUGCAGGACAGGGAUUCAGGCCAGAAAGGGAACAAGGGAGGUGAGCCCUAAAGUCACCCCAGCUUUCCCCCAAAGAUACUGUUUUUAAAAAUGUGUUUUUAUUGAAGCAUCCUUGAUUGACAAUGUUGUGUUGAUUUAUGCUGAACAGCAAAGUGGUUCAGUUCUGCCUGUACGGAUAUUGAUUCUUCUUCAUGUUCUUUUUCCAUUACGGUUUACUACAGGGUACUGAAUAGAGUUCCCUGUGCUAUACAGUGGGACCUUGUUAUUCAUUCUAUAUGUAAUAGUUUGUAUCUGCUAAUCCCAAACUCCCACGCUAUCCCCCCAUCCCGCCUCCCCCUUGGCAAACCACAAGUCCUUUCUCUAUGUCUGUGAGUCUGUUUCUGUUUCGUAGAUCAGACCAUGGGUGUCAUAUUUUUGAUUCUCUAUAUAUUGUGUGGUAUUAGUCUUUCUCUUUCUGAUUGAUUUUAUUCACUAUGAUAAUCUCUAGGUUCAUCCAUAUUGCUACAAAUGGCAUAAUUUCAUUUUUAUGGCUGAGUAGCAUUCCAUUGUAUGUGUGUGUGUGUGUGUGUGUGUACCACAUCUUCUUUACCUAUUCACCUCUCAAUGGAAUGUAGGUUGCUUCCAUUUCUUGGCUAUUGUAAAUAGUGCUGCUAUGAACACUGGGAUGCAUGCAUCUUUUUAAAAUAGAGUUUCUUCUGGUUAUAUGCCCAGAAGUGGGAUUGUUGGAUCCUAUGGCAACUCUACUUGUAAUUUUUUGAGGAACCUCCAUGCUGUUCCCCAUUGUGGCUACACCAGUUUACAUUCCUACCUGCAGUGUGGGAGGGUUCCCUUUUUUCCAUGCCCCCUCCAGCAUUUAUUAUGUGUAGACGUUUUUAAUGAUGGCCAUUCGGAUCAGUGUGAGGU
Molecule: long non-coding RNA, 5142 nt
Filed under: Sus scrofa (pig)
Lineage: Eukaryota; Metazoa; Chordata; Mammalia; Artiodactyla; Suidae
Description: lncRNA (ENSSSCG00015059047.1)
Source: RNAcentral